GACGAACCGUGCGAACGUUGUUCGGAAUUACUGGGCGUAAAGCGCGCGCAGGCGGUCUUCCAAGUCAGUGGUGAAAGCCCGGAGCUCAACUCCGGAACUGCCAUUGAAAACUGUUAGACUUGAGGACGAGAGAGGUGAGUGGAAUUCCCAGUGUAGAGGUGAAAUUCGUAGAUAUUGGGAAGAACACCGGUGGCGAAGGCGGCUCACUGGCUCGUUUCUGACGCUCAGGCGCGACAGCGUGGGGGAUCAAAACAGG
RNAcentral lists this ribosomal RNA (256 nucleotides) under uncultured bacterium. RNAcentral describes it as "partial 16S ribosomal RNA". It matches the Rfam family "Bacterial small subunit ribosomal RNA", at positions 524 to 776 of the family's 1533-position model. The record is from RNAcentral.